Carassius carassius (crucian carp) is the source of this 324-nucleotide long non-coding RNA. RefSeq lists it as uncharacterized. The record is from RefSeq and is a predicted model, not a curated record. Lineage: Eukaryota; Metazoa; Chordata; Actinopteri; Cypriniformes; Cyprinidae. The transcript is spliced from 3 exons.
UAGUAACUUGUUUGAAAGGCCUACAUUCUGGCGGUGUCAAAUAUCAACAUGUCUGGGUGGGUCCGGAAACCGCUUCUAACAGGUUUAGUUCAUACCUGACGACCACACCUGAAAAACGACGAAAUAAUAUUUCAUAUUCGUGAAGUGAAGAUACCGAGAAUAAAGGACAAACUGCACAUUGCACCCAAAGUUGUUUUAUGUGACACAAUUCCGAAUUUUGGGGAGCCAGAGCUAUAGCCAGAGGGGGGACCAAGCUUGUUGACACGGGGGCACUGGUCCCCCUCGCCAGAGAAACAGUUUGUAGAAAGCAGUUAACAUGGGGUG